GCCGCAAGGCAAGUACAGCGGCGUAAGGGUGAGUAAUGGUUCGUCAACGUACCGAGCAGACGUGAAUAAUUUCCCGAAAGGGAUUGUAAUGCACGAUGAGACCACGGGCUGUACGCAGUCUGGGGUCAAAGGUCGGGGAUCCUUCGGGACCCGGCGCUGUUUGAGCGGACGAACUCUGAUUAGCUAGUUGGCGGGGUAACGGCCCACCAAGGCGGUGAUCAGUAGCCGGGCUGAGAGGCUGUCCGGCCACACGGGCACUGAGAUACUGGCCCGACUCCUACGGGAGGCUGCAGUCGCGAAUUUUUCACAAUGGGCGCAAGCCUGAUGAAGCCACGCCGCGUGCGGGAUGAAGGCCCUCUGGGUUGUAAACCGCUGUCGAGGGAGGGGAACCGCUGCAAGUGAAUAGCUUGCAGUCUGACUGCUCUCUGAAGGAAGCCCCGGCAAAACAUGUGCCAGCAGCCGCGGUAAUACAUGUGGGGCAAGCGUUGUUCGGAAUUACUGGGCAUAAAGGGUGCGUAGGUGGUUUGUUAAGUCAGGGGUGAAAUCCCGCGGCCCAACCGUGGAACUGCCUUUGAUACUGGCGAACUUGAGUGCGUGAGGGGUAGGGGGAACGAGCAGUGUAGCGGUGAAAUGCGUAGAUAUUGCUCGGAAGGCCAGAGCCGAAGGGGCCCUACUGGUGCGCAACUGACACUGAGGCACGAAAGCGUGGGGAGCAAACAGGAUUAGAUACCCUGGUAGUCCACGCCGUAAACUAUGAGCACUAGAUGGAUGCCGAGCUAUCGGUGUCUGUCGGAGGCAAUUUGGUAAGUGCUCCGCCUGGGGAGUAUGGUCGCAAGGCUGAAACUC
This 846-nucleotide ribosomal RNA is filed under the name uncultured Pseudomonadota bacterium. RNAcentral describes it as "bacterial SSU rRNA". It matches the Rfam family "Bacterial small subunit ribosomal RNA", at positions 76 to 902 of the family's 1533-position model. The record is from RNAcentral. Lineage: Bacteria; Pseudomonadati; Pseudomonadota.